Oncorhynchus keta (chum salmon) is the source of this 1779-nucleotide long non-coding RNA. RefSeq lists it as uncharacterized. The record is from RefSeq and is a predicted model, not a curated record. Lineage: Eukaryota; Metazoa; Chordata; Actinopteri; Salmoniformes; Salmonidae. The transcript is spliced from 3 exons.
CCGCCACCUACUGUGCGGUAGUGUGUAGUCAAUUACGUUCUAUUUCGUGAUACAAAAAUGUUAAAGGACGGGGGGAAAGGAAAACAUUGCAACACCAACUAACCCUACGCCUAUAUACCACUAUUCAUUUCAAAUUAAUAUCACCACCCCAUUCGACUACUUUGACCCUAACUGAUUCUACACCAGGCCGACAGCCUGGGAGGGCAGGACCCUUUCGUUCAACACACGUUGUUGCUCUUCUGCAGUAAAACCUCGUAUACCCAUGUACUAUUCUGCAGCUGAGCUAGCUUCGCUGAUUAAACAGUACCCGACUUCUUUUCUACCCUGGCCCGAGACUGCAUAUGGAUCAGCCAAAAGGCAGGGAUCUACUUUCUCCCAAAAUCUCACUCCCACUCACCCCUUUGCAUGACCAUCAGGCUCGGAUUUGGAGGUCGUCACAACACUUGCCACCACAGGUCUGAUUGUGGGUUAUGUUGGAGAUGGAAACUUACCCUGUAUAAUGGUUAUGUACCCCUAAUGACCAGGAUGAGGUCACUAGAGUUCACUGAGAGACUGGCCAGAAAAGCAGUGGCACUGGACGGGACAUGGACAUGGAAGCACGGGGUGGGCCUGGGAAACGAGUGUUGCUUCGUGAGGAGAUGGGACCCCUUGCCAUGGAGGUCAUGCAGGGCCUCAAGGCCACUUUGGACCCCAAUAACCUAAUGAAUCCUGGGAAGGUUUUGAAGCUAUCACCUUAUCACAGAGCACUGAAUAAAUGAAUGAAGUGUACAGUACUACUUAGGGAUGCAAUACCUCUGUCUGCCACCGGGUGUCAGGCGUUUGGUAUUGUAAUGACCUGACUCGAUCAUACAUGAACAAUUGUCCAGACAGAGGCUUGAGUUUACGAAUUGACGGUUUAUUACACCAACUUUACACAGGCUACUGUUUGGGCCGUAGCACACGCCAAAUAGAUGACAGAUAACCCACAAGCCAAUCGUGACCUUCUCUUGUGAAACCCAGACGUAAGAGAGAGAGAACAAAGGCUGAACCUGGUCUUAACUUCCAAUGCUCCACCCCCCUGCCCAACCCCCCUCCACGCCACUCCGCCAACCACCAGGAUGCCCGGCAUCAGAACAUUCCAGGCAUUCCCGUGAUUGGCAGAUAGCAGGUUGAUUGACAGGUCGGACCCCGCGAACACCGGGUACUGGUCAGUACAACACAACCACCUCCUAGCCUAACACAUAACACACAGCUGUCUGUGCGGGUCGCUACAGUAUACUUGUUUUUGUAGCGUGAGUGACUGACUAGUCCCAAGGGCAAAUUGUGUAUUAUUGUCUGUCCUCUGUUUAUCCUCUUAAGUUCCUCAGAAUAAAAUGCUUCUUUAGAUUUUACUACAAUAUAACUGUAUGGCUUGAAAUUAUUUAUUGACUACUUGUAAUUAACUAAAUCCAUCGGUUUCAUUUGGUUUCUGCUCUAUUUUGUGCCGUUGAUAUGUGCAUACUGUACUUCAACUGUAAAUGGCCCCUUCUGAUAGAGACUUAAGUAUUUAUUUAUAUUGCAAUGGUGAAGUUGCUCAUGUCUCUAAAGAUAUCUUCUUACAAUCUUAUUUUCUCAGUGGUGACAUGUGUUGAGACAAGCCAAUGAGACUAGAGAAAAACAACCCAGGCUUUAUGCAACAGAGCAGUAACACCUGUAAGUAGUCACAGGAGUGAUCCCAGUUUUCUCCUCAAGAUAAUCCAUCAAUCUAUUCAGGACUGAAGAGAACACAGCUUUUGCCUUUUAACAUUAGCUGAUGGGUCA